This is an RNA transcript of Dreissena polymorpha, 5078 nucleotides long. RefSeq lists it as uncharacterized. The record is from RefSeq and is a predicted model, not a curated record. The transcript has 5 exons. NCBI's taxonomy places the organism in Eukaryota, Metazoa, Mollusca, Bivalvia, Myida, Dreissenidae.
AAUCGUAUGAAUACACACCAACAAACCGGGGAACACCUACCAACCGGGGAAUUCCCCGGUUGGUUUUAGGCGAAAAUCUCUAAUCUACGUGAAUGAAAUACCAAACUGUCAAUUUAAGUUAGAAAUCCAACGCCUUCCCCGAUUAGCGGGUUUGUGGCGUGCACAAAAUAUACACAAAUCUUGACCAUAUUACAAUCGAGUGUGUAUCCAGGCUUAUAACAGUUCCCCGGUUGCGCUGUUUAAAAAUCAUACACUCGGUAUUUAUAUCAUUUAGUGAAAGUCAGUUGGAAAAAUGGAGUUUCGAGCGAACAAACGCAUUAAACUAAGGCAACACAAUGACUACUAGAUCUACGGACAGCCAGGAACCAGAGCAAACAACAUCCAUACACACGGAAGAAGUCGAUGAGACGAGUACCGAAACUAAAGAACAUAGCGACACUGCACAAGAGUACAAUUCACAAGAUGCAGCAGAAAAUAUGUUGAACUGUGAAUCAUCGGAUAUCGAUGAUAGUGACAAUGACAAAGACUAUAUUCCGGAAGAAGGCGAUGCAUCGUCAGAUGAGUCGAUAGUUGUCGAACUCAUACCAAACAUUCAAAGAUUUCAAAAGAAGACAGCGUCAACACUACCUCCUAUUGAAUCCUUGCAAUCUCGUGAACGUGACGAAUCAUCCGCAGAGGCACACAAAACCAACAUCACCAUCGCUCAAACAAAUAACAGUGAAUACAGACAUUACGAUAAGAGAUUUUAUUGCAUGUUUUGCGAAAAGGCUCAAACAAAACUAAACAAACAUUUGCUUUCGCAGCAUAAAGAUGGGCAAGAUGUGAAAGAUCUAUUAAAUACGGAAAAUUCAGCAGAAAAUAAAAAAAUGUAUGAACAAAUAAGGAACGUUGGGAACCAUCUCCAUAAUGUUAAAGUAUUGCGAGAUGGCCAAGGACAGCUGUUUGUGUCAUACAGACAACGUAACAAUCAACGCGUAGCUGCAGACGAGUAUGGACCUUGUCCUUACUGUUACGGGUAUUACCCGAAGAAAAUCCUGUGGAGGCACACUCAAAAAUGUAAGUUUACAAAUGCGGCGGGAUCAAGAAAACGACUCGCUUUAGAGAGCAGCCUGCUAUUACCAAAAUCAAAAGAAGAAAGCACUAUUUUUAAGACGAGUAAUCGAGUCCAUGAGAAACGACGAAAUAAGUCGCAUAGUCAAAAGUGAUAAUACAAUCCUUGCAUUCGGUGAAAAACUCUGUACAAAAAGGGGCCAUGAUGAAGAGCAACACAAUUAUAUUAGACAGAAGUUAAGAGAAGUUGGUAGAUUGCUGAAAGACAUGCGAUCUUGUUCAGGCAAUGUUGAAAAGUCUUUGGAGAAUUUCAUGUAUCCAGAUGCUUUCAAAUUUAUUACACAAUCUUGCAAAAACGUUGCAGGCUUCGACGGAAACACCAAUACUUAUGCUACACCAUCAUUAGCCUUAAAGAUUGGCACAACGCUUCAGAAAUGUCUAAAAAUUCUAAUUUCGAAAGGAAUCGAAACAAGCAACCGGGAUCUGCAAACAAGGGCUGAGGAUCUUUCCAAACUAUUUGAAAUUAAUUGGACGGAUGACAUGUCUUCCAAUGCCUUAAGAACACUUCAUGAGGCUAAGCAGAACAGUCAGAAAGGACUGUUGCCAUUGGCAAAUGAUGUCAAAGUAAUGUCUGAAUACUUACGACAUGAAGCAGAAACACAUGCAAAUACCUUACAAGGAUCAGCAAGUGAUUGCGAGAAAAGGCAAGCAUGGCAUAAGUUGUCUGAAAUCUGCUUGUGCUAAACUAUUCUUUUUAAUCGAUACGAUCAGGCGAGGUGUCAAAAAUGACAGUCGAAGAAUAUUCAAAAAACAAAUUGACAAAUGACGAUGGAGAAUUAGAUGGAUGUUUAACAAAACUGGAAAAAGACCUGUGCCGUUAUUUUUACCGUACAGAGAUUAUUGCAAAACGAGGUCGAAUAGCUGCAGUACUGUUUCCAAGACAAGUGAAAGAAAAUAUCGACCUCCUCAUACGCAGCAGAAAUUCUCUAACAAACUGUUUAAAUAGUAAAUUUCUUUUCCCAACAAAAUCUGCAUCAUCGCAUAUUCGUGGGACAGACGUAUUACGUUCAAUUGCAAUUGACUGUGGAGUUGAACAUCCGAAAAGGCUUCGUUCUACAAAGUUAAGGAACCAUAUUGCCACAAUGACUCAGCUUUUUAACUUGUCUGAAAAUGAAAUAGACAUUCUAGCUAAAUUUCUUGGUCACGAAAUUCGGGUACAUAGAGAAUUCUACAGAUUACCAGAUGGAACCAUGCAGGUUGCCAAAGUCAGCAAGCUGCUCAUGAUGAUGGAAAGUGGACAAAUUACCAGAAAUUCUGUCAAUUCGCUAGACGAUAUUGAUGUUGACGACGAAUGUAUUGUAGAUAAACAAUAUUCUUCUGAAUUAUCAGAAAAUGAAAAUACUGAAGACCUUGAAACUCUGCUUCCCAGCACCAGUCAACCAAAAAUAACAGACAAAGGAAUGCAUACACAUGUGAAUGCAUUUAAGUUAUGUAUCUCCAAGUUUCUUAUGUUUCUUAGAACAUGAUUUUCUUACAUGUAAUUGUUUGAUUCAUUAGGCAAAAUAAUGUUUCCAAAUUUUUCGUGUGACAUCGAUGUCAUUAUCAGGUGCCGUAAGUACCUGGACGCUUUUGUCGUAAUUUUGCUAUGAAAAAUUGUACUGAAGUAUAUAUAUUUAAUAUGGAUAUCUUACACAUGGCAGUUAGCGACGUCAUAUGGUGUUUUAUUAUCCAUGUACAGUAAAGGGUACUUCAAAUACCAGGAGAACAAAACAAGCAGCCAAAGAGCAAUGGAGUGAAGACGAAAACAGGAGCUGUUCACAGACACUUAGAUCGUUUUUUGAUAAUGGGUAAAUUACCAGGGAAAAAAGAAUUACUAGCAUGUAUUGAAAGUGAGAAUGACCUUCACAACAGAAGUUGGAAAAAUGUCAAAGACUUUUGCAGAAAUUUAAUUGAAACAAAAAAGCGACGGGGACUUUUAACUUAAAAAAAUAUUACACAUAUAAUGCACGUUUAGGAGAAUACAUUAAAGGAUGAAGUUGCCACAUGUGUUUUGUGUGUUUUCUUGUUCUAUAUACUCUUUUCGAAAACGAUAUAUGUGUGCUUAUUGUAUUUGAAUGUUUUAUUAAAACGGUUCAGUCAAAAACGAUAUUUGUUCAUAAUCAUAUCGCCGAACAAAUUAGGAUUGGUAUAUAGUUCGGCCAAAGAGUGUUUCUUUGUACUUUCUAUUACGAGUUUCUACGAGUUACUCACUAUACAAGUUAUUUUUUACCCCAAACUUGGUGAAUAUGAAUGAAUAUAGCAAACAUGAUAACAAAUCAAUCUAGAAGGCUAAACGUUCAGAGAAGGCACAAAAAAAUUCAGUCGGAUAAAUGGAAACAAACAUUUUGUUUAAGCAUAACAAACAAACACUUUUAGAUGUAAUAAGAUAAAUGUAAAUAACAUAAAAAAAAACUACUGCUAAACUACUGCUACAAUGUGAAGAAUACAAAUGAAUAUUUUGUCAAUUUUACAAAAUUUGUUUUGAAUGACAGGUGUCUGACUUGCAGUUGAGUACUUAAUAGUUAUUUUAAAGUAAAACUUUACCAAUAUGUAAAUUAUUGCGUAAAUAUCGCACUAGAAUUGAUUAAAUAGUUGUUAAAUAUUACAAUAAUUUCCUACACAGACUUUUGUGCAUUUGUUUUGCGUGUAGAUAUUCACAUUAACUAUCAAUUCACAUAUUUGCUUUGUGCAUAUAAUUGGUAUGUUUAUAUUUUGAAUUGAGUCACACUGUUAUAAUUUCCCUGUUGGUACAUAUUAUUUUUAAGUUGGCACCAACAAGGGUCUAACAAUUGAUUCACAUGUGCACUCCCCAGUAAGUAUAUAUACUAUAAUGUAAGUGAUGCAAAAUAAUAUUAAACUACGUGUUUGAUAAGUGUUUGCUUUGGUACAUAUUUAAUUAUUAGUGUUUUUAUAUAAUGAUAAUGCUGUCAAAGUCAGCGGUGAUUAUACGUGUAUAACAACAUUAAUUAACACUUUUAUAUUGUUUUCAACAAAUAAUAUAUGGUUGACACAUCGGCAUAAAUUUUCAGUGCUUAAAAUACACUCUUUCUAUUAUAUUUUAUGCAAAAAUUAGGUACAUAAGUUGGUUUACAUAAAGGUAGUUUGAACAAAAUACGUGAAUUCAAAUCUUGAAAAAAGGUGUUUGGUUUGCAAGGGAAAACUAAGCGAUUGCCAGUGACUAUUUUCCUUAAAAUAUAAUCUGUUAUUUCGACAGGUAGAAUUAAAUGUAAGUUCAUUAUUAACGUUAACCCGUUUUUGGCAUUCUCUACUCAAACAAGUGCAUACAUACUGUAUUUUUUUAAUACAGCACAUGUGUAAUGGUAUCACAGUUGUAGAAUUGGAAUUCAUAUAUUAUAACAAUAAAUACUGAUCAUUAUUCAGAUUGACCUACCGCCGUAGACUAAGUCACUGGCGCUUCAAAAUGCAUUGUUAUCAAGUCGUUUUGCUAGUUUACUAAACUAUUUUGUUUCUCAGGCCUCGCCACAUUCGUUGUGAAACGUUCAUAAUUGUUUAAAGUUACAGAUUUUAUUAUUUUUGAAAAUGCAAUAAAUGUAUUUAAGACAAUUUAAGUGAAGUGGAAGGUGCCAUGCGUGUGAAUGAAUUUUCUGAUGUUUACCUGUUUCAGGGGAUUAAAUGCAUGAGUUAUUUUAGAAUGUCAGAGUAAGGACAAAGUAAAUUUACACUACUAAAUCUACAUGCUUAUGGGCAGUUCUACUUUUAGGAUAAAAAACUUCAUAGUACGUGAACAUCGUGAAUAUUUUUUUCUGAUGGAAAAAAAGGAAUAAAACAAAUAAACCGCCUCCCCCUCUCCUUCACUCGGUUUUACAAAUAGCGUGGCCUGAAAAAAAAUAACAUUAUUUUUUAGUUUUAAGAACGAAUUGUAUUCAUUUGUUGAUUAAUUCACCAUGAUUGUUAUGGUAUAAUGCAGCACUUGCAUGCUUGUAGUCGGCUUAUAGCUAAUAAAGUCAUAAAUGUAUUGUUUGAUUUGC